Molecule: long non-coding RNA, 199 nt
Organism: Poecilia latipinna (sailfin molly)
Lineage: Eukaryota; Metazoa; Chordata; Actinopteri; Cyprinodontiformes; Poeciliidae
Exons: 4
Source: RefSeq, a predicted model, not a curated record
CUUGGUCUCGGGGUAAGUGGACUUGAACCAAACUCUGAUUCGUUACUCCUGUGUACAAACUUUUAUAGUAAAAGGCGUAUUCUUCUCUUUAACAUAUUCAAAUAAAGCGUAUCUUUGCUCAACCAACCAGGAGCUGUCUCGGACCCUCUUAAAAGUUAGAAGCUCCCUGCAAUUUGUUUUCAAGAUCUAACACCAGUUG